RNAcentral lists this ribosomal RNA (2786 nucleotides) under Streptococcus pneumoniae. RNAcentral describes it as "bacterial LSU rRNA". It matches the Rfam family "Bacterial large subunit ribosomal RNA". The record is from RNAcentral. Lineage: Bacteria; Bacillati; Bacillota; Bacilli; Lactobacillales; Streptococcaceae.
AGGGCGCACGGUGGAUGCCUUGGCACUAGGAGCCGACGAAGGACGUGACAAACGACGAUAUGCCUUGGGUAGCUGUAAGUAAGCGAUGAUCCAGGGAUUUCCGAAUGGGGGAACCCAACAGGUAAUACCUGUUACCUACAUCUGUUAAGGAUGUGAGGAGGAAGACGCAGUGAACUGAAACAUCUAAGUAGCUGCAGGAAGAGAAAGCAAAAGCGAUUGCCUUAGUAGCGGCGAGCGAAACGGCAGAAGGGCAAACCGAAGAGUUUACUCUUCGGGGUUGUAGGACUGCAAUGUGGACUCAAAGAUUAUAGAAGAAUGAUUUGGGAAGAUCAGCCAAAGAGAGUAAUAGCCUCGUAUUUAAAAUAGUCUUUGUACUUAGCAGUAUCCUGAGUACGGCGGGACACGUGAAAUCCCGUCGGAAUCUGGGAGGACCAUCUCCCAACCCUAAAUACUCCCUAGUGACCGAUAGUGAACCAGUACCGUGAGGGAAAGGUGAAAAGCACCCCGGGAGGGGAGUGAAAUAGAACCUGAAACCGUGUGCCUACAACAAGUUCGAGCCCGUUAAUGGGUGAGAGCGUGCCUUUUGUAGAAUGAACCGGCGAGUUACGUUAUGAUGCGAGGUUAAGUUGAAGAGACGGAGCCGUAGGGAAACCAGACAGGAAUAGGGCGCCUUAGUAUCAUGACGUAGACCCGAAACCAUGUGACCUACCCAUGAGCAGGUUGAAGGUGCGGUAAGACGCACUGGAGGACCGAACCAGGGCACGUUGAAAAGUGCUUGGAUGACUUGUGGGUAGCGGAGAAAUUCCAAACGAACUUGGAGAUAGCUGGUUCUCUCCGAAAUAGCUUUAGGGCUAGCGUCGACAUUAGAGAUUCUUGGAGGUAGAGCACUGUUUGGGUGAGGGGUCCAUCCCGGAUUACCAAUCUCAGAUAAACUCCGAAUGCCAAUGAAUUAUGGUCGGCAGUCAGACUGCGAGUGCUAAGAUCCGUAGUCGAAAGGGAAACAGCCCAGACCACCAGCUAAGGUCCCAAAAUAAUUGUUAAGUGGAAAAGGAUGUGGGGUUGCACAGACAACUAGGAUGUUAGCUUAGAAGCAGCUAUUCAUUCAAAGAGUGCGUAAUAGCUCACUAGUCGAGUGACCCUGCGCCGAAAAUGUACCGGGGCUAAAACAAUUUACCGAAGCUGUGGAUACCUUUAUAGGUAUGGUAGGAGAGCGUUCUAUGUGUGAUGAAGGUAUACCGUGAGGAGUGCUGGAACGCAUAGAAGUGAGAAUGCCGGUAUGAGUAGCGAAAGACAGGUGAGAAUCCUGUCCACCGUAAGACUAAGGUUUCCAGGGGAAGGCUCGUCCGCCCUGGGUUAGUCGGGACCUAAGGAGAGACCGAAAGGUGUAUCCGAUGGACAACAGGUUGAUAUUCCUGUACUAGAGUAUGUAGUGAUGGAGGGACGCAGUAGGCUAACUAAAGCAGACGAUUGGAAGAGUCUGUCUAAGCAGUGAGGUGUGAAUUGAGUCAAAUGCUUAAUUCUAUAACAUUGAGCUGUGAUGGGGAGCGAAGUUUAGUAGCGAAGUUAGUGACGUCACACUGCCAAGAAAAGCUUCUAGCGUUUAAACAUACUCUACCCGUACCGCAAACCGACACAGGUAGUCGAGGCGAGUAGCCUCAGGUGAGCGAGAGAACUCUCGUUAAGGAACUCGGCAAAAUGACCCCGUAACUUCGGGAGAAGGGGUGCUGACUUAAAGUCAGCCGCAGUGAAUAGGCCCAAGCAACUGUUUAUCAAAAACACAGCUCUCUGCUAAAUCGUAAGAUGAUGUAUAGGGGGUGACGCCUGCCCGGUGCUGGAAGGUUAAGAGGAGUGCUUAGCGUAAGCGAAGGUAUGAAUUGAAGCCCCAGUAAACGGCGGCCGUAACUAUAACGGUCCUAAGGUAGCGAAAUUCCUUGUCGGGUAAGUUCCGACCCGCACGAAAGGCGUAAUGAUUUGGGCACUGUCUCAACGAGAGACUCGGUGAAAUUUUAGUACCUGUGAAGAUGCAGGUUACCCGCGACAGGACGGAAAGACCCCAUGGAGCUUUACUGCAGUUUGAUAUUGAGUGUCUGUACCACAUGUACAGGAUAGGUAGGAGUCUAAGAGAUCGGGACGCCAGUUUCGAAGGAGACGCUGUUGGGAUACUACCCUUGUGUUAUGGCCACUCUAACCCAGAUAGGUGAUCCCUAUCGGAGACAGUGUCUGACGGGCAGUUUGACUGGGGCGGUCGCCUCCUAAAAGGUAACGGAGGCGCCCAAAGGUUCCCUCAGAAUGGUUGGAAAUCAUUCGCAGAGUGUAAAGGUAUAAGGGAGCUUGACUGCGAGAGCUACAACUCGAGCAGGGACGAAAGUCGGGCUUAGUGAUCCGGUGGUUCCGUAUGGAAGGGCCAUCGCUCAACGGAUAAAAGCUACCCUGGGGAUAACAGGCUUAUCUCCCCCAAGAGUUCACAUCGACGGGGAGGUUUGGCACCUCGAUGUCGGCUCGUCGCAUCCUGGGGCUGUAGUCGGUCCCAAGGGUUGGGCUGUUCGCCCAUUAAAGCGGCACGCGAGCUGGGUUCAGAACGUCGUGAGACAGUUCGGUCCCUAUCCGUCGCGGGCGUAGGAAAUUUGAGAGGAUCUGCUCCUAGUACGAGAGGACCAGAGUGGACUUACCGCUGGUGUACCAGUUGUCUUGCCAAAGGCAUCGCUGGGUAGCUAUGUAGGGAAGGGAUAAACGCUGAAAGCAUCUAAGUGUGAAACCCACCUCAAGAUGAGAUUUCCCAUGAUUAU